UACGUAGGUGGCAAGCGUUGUCCGGAUUUACUGGGCGUAAAGAGCGCGCAGGCGGUCAGAUAAGUCGAAUGUGAAAGCCCCCGGCUCAACUGGGGAGGGUCAUUCGAUACUGUUCGACUCGAAGGCAGGAGAGGGAAGUGGAAUUCCCGGUGUAGUGGUGAAAUGCGUAGAUAUCGGGAGGAACGCCAGUGGCGAAGGCGACUUCCUGGCCUGUUCUUGACGCUGAGGCGCGAAAGCUAGGGGAGCAAACGGG
This 253-nucleotide ribosomal RNA is filed under the name uncultured bacterium. Its description in RNAcentral is "partial 16S ribosomal RNA". It matches the Rfam family "Bacterial small subunit ribosomal RNA", at positions 524 to 776 of the family's 1533-position model. The record is from RNAcentral.